RNAcentral lists this ribosomal RNA (253 nucleotides) under uncultured bacterium. RNAcentral describes it as "partial 16S ribosomal RNA". It matches the Rfam family "Bacterial small subunit ribosomal RNA", at positions 524 to 776 of the family's 1533-position model. The record is from RNAcentral.
CACGUAGGAGGCGAGCGUUGUCCGGAAUCAUUGGGCGUAAAGAGCGCGCAGGCGGCUUGGCAAGUCGGGUGUGAAAUCCCGGGGCUCAACCCCGGGACUGCAUUCGAUACUGUCAGGCUAGAGGUAGGUAGGGGAGAUCGGAAUUCCUGGUGUAGCGGUGAAAUGCGCAGAUAUCAGGAGGAACACCGGUGGCGAAGGCGGCUUCUUGGGCCGUUCCUGACGCUGAGGCGCGAAAGCUGGGGGAGCGAACGGG